CGUUGAAACGCCGAUUCCCGUACGAUCAUCGAAGUUAAGCAACGUUGGGCAUGGUCAGUACCUAGAUGGGUGACCGAUUGGGAAUACCAGGUGCUGUAAG
Non-coding RNA from Acanthosepion pharaonis, 100 nucleotides. The record is from the annotation of a GenBank genome assembly. Lineage: Eukaryota; Metazoa; Mollusca; Cephalopoda; Sepiida; Sepiidae.